Corapipo altera (White-ruffed manakin) is the source of this 4789-nucleotide long non-coding RNA. RefSeq lists it as uncharacterized. The transcript has 2 exons. NCBI's taxonomy places the organism in Eukaryota, Metazoa, Chordata, Aves, Passeriformes, Pipridae. The record is from RefSeq and is a predicted model, not a curated record.
CAGGCUGUGCCCUCAUGUUGGUCUAGAGGAAAAUAAGGAGCAGGAGGCUAAGCCAAGAACAUGUGUGGAGACUGGCACCAUGAAAAUACUGCAAAUUCCUGCUCCGAUCCCCUCUGCUUUUUGUAUGCCCAUUCUAGGCAAUGUGACAAUGUGUUUUCUUGCUGGGUAUAUCACCCCUGGAGACAGAAUGUCCUCUGGGCCUCCUCCAAUAGGAGGAUGAUUUGUUGGUUUAGCAAUCAUUGACUCAUCCUUAUUUUUUUUAACGCAAAUUAAAGUUGGCAGCAAAGCAACCUCAUGUUGUUCAGUGGCAGCUCCUUGGCAUCUCCUUGUUCUCCCUGGUUAGGUCCCCUAUGCCAACCAACACAUGAACUUCAGCAGUUGUUUGGAGUGCUUCAUCUGGCUUGUAAUCUGUCAUAUGUUCCCAGAGAUGUACUGGCAGGUAGCUGAACGAUGACUCAGAAAACAUCUAGGGUUUUCAUUAAAACCACAAAUGCGUGUAUUAGCUAAGUUAUUUACAACUGGAAGUAAGCAGCCAGACACCAUGUAUACAAGUAUCUAAUCACCUAGUAAAGAAAGAAUUUUAGGUUACCAAGCAGUUAGAGCUAGGGUAUUUAGGUACAAGCAAAUAAUUUCAGUUUAGGAUGAGGUCAGUUGUCUCCACUGAUUUCUCUGGCAUUGACUAGAAGGUAUCUGUAAUGUUCAAAAGGCUGCUGACAACAUCAAUCAAAACCUAUUAUGUGACACGUUAUUUGCUUGGAGAUCUGCUGUAUUAAGAUGCCAUGUGGUUGGAAUCAGAUAAUUUUAAUUGUUAUCACAUGUAAUUGUCAGCCACAUAAUUGUGUCUUACCGAUCUUUAACAGUGUUUGUUUUUCAGACUUCUUUCCUGAGGCCCAAGCUCUUUGUAGAUUACUUCAGUGGUCUUUUUAAUAUCAAAAGGAAAACUAAAGUUUUCAGAGACCGGACAUCGCAGUGAUCCUACAUCUAAACAAUGCUGCCAUGGAAAAUGACCAGAAAUCUACUAUCUGAGAAAACCCAUCCAUCAUCUUCAGGCAAUCUUCCAAUUUGUUAACUUUAGCUGCUACUAAUAAGUGUCUCAGUCCAGGAAAAGCAAUUAUUACGAUGUUUCACAGAAUAGCUUCCAGAUAGCACAUGAUGUAAACUGCUCUUGGGCAGCAUUUUUUCAAAGGAAACGGGUUUUUUAUUUUUUUCUUCAGUAAGCAACUUUACCAAUUCAAAUGUGACAGAAACAGAGGUAAAGAGGAAGAGCUGUUGGAAAUGGGAGUUGGCCAUAGCUACUGUGCCCAUUUACACCAUCCAAAGACUUGGAUCAUGGUGCUUUGUAAAGCCUUUGUUAUGGGUUUGAUCAGCGUGCAGACUCAGUAAGGAGUGAUUGAGAUACAGUCACUAAUGUGUUACAUCUCAUAGAGCCAAAUCAGGCAACCUGGUUUGACUGCAGGUUCACAUCCAGAGAGUGAUAAUCUCACCUACUAUCUAGCAUACAUAACCAGGAAUGAAAAACAAGCCAAGCUCAGUGUGCUAGCAUCUCUAUUUUGAUUCUUGCUAUUUUGAGGCCCUUAAUGAAAAUGCAACAUCAUUGCAGGCUGCUGCUUGCAGUCAGUACCCUGAUCAGUAUGCUUGCACGUGGCAGUCAUUUGCAUUUUUCUCAGUACCGUCUCCAGAGCACAGGGACAAGCUGCCACGCCAGGGGAAGGUGCCACUGGUAAGCAUCACUGUGAAGGUGUUCACUAGCCUGGAGAGACGAGGCUUCUCCAAGGUAAUCAUGGACCAUUAUUUGGUGGCUUAGGUGGAUAUCCUGCCGGAGGAUGAACUCAGCUGAGCUCCCAGUACAGAGAGCUUCCUAUUAGAAAAGGGGAAACCAAAGCAGGAGAGGGUCAAAGAAGCAGCGCAUGGUUUAUCUAUGAUUACCUUCACUGUAGCCUGAUUUCUGUAACACGGGACCUCUGUCAAGGGAUUGGGGAGGGAAAUUUGACAACUCCUCUAUGAUGACAAACAUACACUAGCAAAACUCUACUUUAUGAUCUUAUAGUCAAUGCAUUUAGGAUCAGUCAGAUAAUCAUAUGGUGGCAUCUCACUAAGCCUCUCUGAUUAGUUUGAGGGACUGGUUUGAAAGUUUCUCAUGGCUCAUUCCUGGCUGUUCUUCACAUGUCCUUUAAAACAGAUGUUAGCUUGUGACUAGUUUUCAGUCUGCCUCUGCUAGUCUCCUUGAUCUUGAAGGCUGUUGAUAGGAGACAACAUUCAGCAUUUUUCCAGACACCCAUCAACCUCAUCAGACUGAAUGACUUGUCUUUUCAAUCCUCCUUCUGUAGUGUAUUAUAAAUUGUUUUGGUGUGCUUGGAUUUCUUGUUGAGGACUUGCUUUCUAAUUCUUGAAGAAUUGGAUGCUAAGAGGAAAGCAUGAUCUAGAUUCCUUCUGAAAAUUUCAGAUUAAUGCGCUAGAUCAUUCUGCACAAUUGCUAAUCCAAACCCAUUUACUUUGUAAGCAAAAGUUUGGUCUUGAGUACCAUCAUUAAGUUGUUUGCUAGGAGAAACGAGUCCAAUGGGAUCAUGGUACAUGUAGAAUCUUUGUUUUGCAAUUGGUUCUUUUCAUGACUAAAUUAAUCAGACACAUAUACUAGAACGUUAGAAACCAUAAUUUGCCUGGCUUAAAAGGAGCUGUUCAGCACAUCAAGAUGUUUAUUUAAUUCAUCAAAGCUGUUUUGGCCUGCAGAAAUGCAUACAUACAAACAUAUAUAUAUUCUUAAAAUAUUUUUAAGCAUUCAGUCAUGUAUAUAUAUGUGUAUAUGUAUAUAUAUACAUUUCUCCUGUAUAUUUUUGAUUCAAUUUGAAAAUUAAUUUUUCCUUAUAAAUAUGUAAAAUUCCUUCUUAUAUAUGCAACCACAUACAUGUGCGUGUGCUCAUCAUCAAUAUGUUGUCCUGCCUUUAAUUGUUGAAGACUGAGAGAUGUCAGCAAACAAUUUGGUUUUGACAUCUAAGAAAAGGGUAAGAAUACAUUGCUGAAAGGUCAGCAGUUGAUUGGCCCCUUGGACAUUCUUGGCCCCUUGAACACCCUGCAAAUAAAUGCCUGAAAGGCUGAUUUUGCCAUAAGCCGUGGGAGCUGAUCAGAGUUCAGUUAUAGGAAAGUCUAUAUUCUUCAUACAAUUCCUAGGUGGUUUAAAAUAUUCACCAACUUAGUUAAAUGUCUUUUGUUCUCCUGGGCAGUAGUUCUACUGUGAGACGGAAAGUGUUAAAAUACUUUCCCUGGGAUAGGGAUAAUGAGAGCUUCUGCCUUGCCUUUUUUUUUUUUUUUUUGCUUCAUGGGAAAUGUUUUUGGGCAUUAGUUAUGUAACAGGAAAUAUUUAAUGGUACCUUUUUGAUUCCUGACAGCAUUAUGCUAUCUGUAAUGACGAGAAAGGUGAAAAUAAAAAUGACAUUUCCUAUUUGGCAGAUGUUCUGUAGCACUAACAGAAAGUCCAACAGUCAGACAAUUUCAAGAAUAAAGAUUAUUAUAGGCCCAGUGAACUGAAAAAAUGCUACUUCUCUCUGUAUGUUUUAGCAGAAGAUUCUUUUUAAUUAAAUAGGUAAACUAAGAUAUCAAAUUUAAAGUCAUCUUUGCCAUCAAUUCGAAACUAGAAAUCAUCACUUCUUUCCUAGAAACACUCAUUUUCACUGAGAGUGACUCUGGCCUUUCUGGUGUCACUCUGGUAUGUUAUUUCACAGCAAUGUGCUCAGCCUCUAAAGCACAAACCAUUAAUGCGUAUAUUUCCUUUUCAUCCAGAUAUUCAUUUUCUUGUAUAAGACAGUCUUGUUCCCUAAAUCUUUCCAGACCUAUCACUUAGUUUAUGUGCACAACAGGUCUUUGACGGUUCUGUGUUUCUUCCUGAAGCAAAAAGUCAGAGGAAAUAAAAAUGAAUUCUUAUGUCUAAGUAUUUGAAAAUUACUGUGGUCUAGAUGCCACUAAAGCACAAAUGUACCAGCACAUAUUUAAAAAAAAUCGCUAGAUUCAGAAUAUAACAUUCCAGACACACCAUAUUGUAUUCAAAUUCAUACAACCCUUUUGUCUGAGUAAUUUACUCUCCUGAGAGGUAAGGGAAAAUGGGUGACAUUUUUUCAGUUCUGUACUUUGCAACUUAUUGAGGUCCUCAAAUUCAUGUUUCCUUACAUUCUUUCUUUGUACUCAUUGUGUUUGUCAGAAAAGAUGUAUGAAUGAGAAUAUAUUUGAAAUCUGCAUUGCUUUUGGGGCUUGGUUCAAACAGGAUUAGCAGCCAUAGAAGGGUCUCACCAAAGGUUUUCAUGACUUCUAGUCACAUCAUUAAUGAAGACCUUUUGAGCAUUUUGGUCUUCUUCCUUCCAUAUGAAGAGAAAUAGCGAUUCUGCCUUUGAAAAACAUUUUGAAAUUGCCAGAGAUGCAGAUAUUAAUCACUGUUAUACCUGUUUACAAGCAGUGAGAAAGACUAUGUUUAACAGAAAGACCACAUUUUAUUAUAUUUACAACAAUAGAACUGGAAUAUAACCUUUUUAUUUAAAAAUCAAGCCACAGAUUAAGUUUUGAUUGCAGUAUUUUGUACUGAAAAUAAGAAUAAUGAAAGCAAUUAAGUAUUCAUAGUCCUGCUCUCACACAAACACCUUCCAUGGUGAGCCUGUUUAUGCAACCAAGUGUGCCAUACAAUUGCUUUUAUUACCUCCUUAUAAAACAGCCUGUAUAAAACACUUUUUUUUGAUUGUUUCUUUGUGUAUUGUUGAGUAUGUUUGCAUUCUAAAGGGCUUUGCCUCAUUAAAGUAAUUACCAUAAA